Molecule: long non-coding RNA, 1481 nt
Organism: Diospyros lotus (date-plum)
Lineage: Eukaryota; Viridiplantae; Streptophyta; Magnoliopsida; Ericales; Ebenaceae
Exons: 4
Source: RefSeq, a predicted model, not a curated record
UAAGAUAAAAAUAUGCAUAAAAUUAAGCCCUAUCAAGCAGCCAUGGCAAAUCGUCCAUUGGCCUUCCCUUAUCAAUGGUCUCCGCCAUCACAGCCACACUGUCAACUGACCACCUUCGUCGAUCGUCAACCAACCACAGGCCGCAUCUACUGUCAACCAUCAUUCCCUUUUCUUAUUCGUAGCCGACCACAACUAUAAUACCCCAUAUUUUUGUGAAGAUGCCAUAUAUUUUAAGUUAGUUUAAAAUAUCAAAAAAUAUACUUAAAAUGGCAACAAGUGACCGAAUCGGUCGCAGGGAGUGCCCUGGAGCUUAGAUACCUAAAGACAAAAGUAUAUAUUUGACGAGCGUCCCGAUGUGAGAUUUAUGUCACUGAAAGAAAUAAAAUGAGAGACGAUUUUCGGUUAAGCUAAGUUGUAGCCUAAAAAGAUCGAAUGAUGGUAAGGGCUUCCCGGAAAUCGUACAUAUCAAGUAAUUUUGAGUUAUUAAUUUUGAGAUUUUAGGUUCUCGAUAAAUUUGAUGUUUGAUGGUGUAAUUGUAAUUAGAGAAGUAUCCAAAUGAAAUAAGGAUGAAAUUAUAAGCUCAUGUGGUAAAAUAUUAAAGUUGAGAACUUGAAAUAAGGGCCAAAAUGUCAUUUGGAAGAAGUUUGGGGUUUUAGCUUGGAUUUCAAAAGUUAAAUUCAUUCUAACUUUGGAUUUUAAAAGCCAUUCAAUUAUAGGAUUGAGUCUUUGGAGUCCAUGGCUAAGAUUGUGACAAGUGGCAUAAUAUGAUUGGUUCAAGUAAUCUAUAAAUAGGCACCGUGGGUUGUUCUCAAAUCAUUCAAGGAAGCUUUGAGAGUUGAGGCAUUCUAAGUGGAGGAGCGUGCUCUAGAGAGAGAGGAGGAAGUUCUCCAAGAAGUCGGGAAGAAAGCGGUGGAGAAGCGGCAGACAACGAGCCUCGUCGGAAUUGCGGGUCUUCGCCGGAAUUCGCCAAAAUCAGUCAGAAAAAAAGCAAGAAACCUAAGCCGUUUGCUGUGAAGUUAUAUCGUCCAAGAGAUAAACCAACAAGGAAAAAGUCGGAUAUCCCCCGAGAUGUGCUAUGCGUGCGCCAUCAAGAAAGCUCUCGUGGGGAAGAUCGUGAGCCUAAGGGACAACGGAUGUGGUGCUUGCAUGAGUUCUAUGAGGUCGGACCAAGGUGACAUGGUUAAGGACCUCCAGAGAGGCGCUAUGCGUGCGUCAUUGAGAAAGCUCUCGUUAGAGGAGGCUGAUGUGUUCACGAGGUUCGACAAGCGGCUCUAAGGGAAAUGAGGUAGCUGAAGAAUAAGUUUAAUUUGCUGCUUAUAGCUUGUUUAUCAUAUCGAUGUUUAUGUGCGAACCUAUGUAUGAUUUGGAUAUGUUUAAGACGUUCAGUUAUCACUUGUGAGAGAUGAUGUAAUACAUUUUGUAGGUGUCUUGAACGAUUUUAUUUAUGAUAAAUAAAAUAUUAUGGUUGUGGACCAUAUCAA